This 459-nucleotide unclassified non-coding RNA is filed under the name Mangifera andamanica. Its description in RNAcentral is "partial miscellaneous RNA". The record is from RNAcentral. Lineage: Eukaryota; Viridiplantae; Streptophyta; Magnoliopsida; Sapindales; Anacardiaceae.
GCUCCGUGCUCGUGCAUCGAACUGUCGACCGCCCAUCGUCUUCAGUGUUUCCCCGAGCGCAAAUCAUGCCUCGCGGGUGCUCUCGGUGUCCUGUGUUGCUUACCGACGUGAUGGAAUUCGAUCGUGUUGUUGCCCCUUUUCGCCCCGCAACCCUAACCAGGGGUGUGGGGUGGACGCCAGGCACGCUACGCGUUCCUCGCAUGCCUUGCUUCGUUGCGGGGCUGUUGAGGCCCGCAGAGCUGUUUGCCCGUUCUCUCGGAUGCGGAAUGCCAUGCACGGGUGCGGGGUUUUUGCCUCCGCUUGCCCGAGCCACGCAUUUGUCCCUUGACGCGAACGACUGUCGCGGCCGUCUUGAUCCCGUCGUGGCCUACGUGCUGCACGGACGUCAUGCGGUCGUCGACGUCAUCGAGGAAUGCUACCUGGUUGAUCCUGCCAGUAGUCAUAUGCUUGUCUCAAAGA